UCUUUAAUGGAGAGUUUGAUCCUGGCUCAGGACGAACGCUGGCGGCGUGCCUAAUACAUGCAAGUCGAGCGGGGUUAAUUA
Molecule: ribosomal RNA, 81 nt
Filed under: Paenibacillus polymyxa
Lineage: Bacteria; Bacillati; Bacillota; Bacilli; Caryophanales; Paenibacillaceae
Description: partial 16S ribosomal RNA
Rfam family: Bacterial small subunit ribosomal RNA
Source: RNAcentral